RNAcentral lists this ribosomal RNA (1388 nucleotides) under Pediococcus acidilactici. Its description in RNAcentral is "16S ribosomal RNA". It matches the Rfam family "Bacterial small subunit ribosomal RNA", at positions 93 to 1468 of the family's 1533-position model. Lineage: Bacteria; Bacillati; Bacillota; Bacilli; Lactobacillales; Lactobacillaceae. The record is from RNAcentral.
GAGUGGCGGACGGGUGAGUAACACGUGGGUAACCUGCCCAGAAGCAGGGGAUAACACCUGGAAACAGAUGCUAAUACCGUAUAACAGAGAAAACCGCCUGGUUUUCUUUUAAAAGAUGGCUCUGCUAUCACUUCUGGAUGGACCCGCGGCGCAUUAGCUAGUUGGUGAGGUAACGGCUCACCAAGGCGAUGAUGCGUAGCCGACCUGAGAGGGUAAUCGGCCACAUUGGGACUGAGACACGGCCCAGACUCCUACGGGAGGCAGCAGUAGGGAAUCUUCCACAAUGGACGCAAGUCUGAUGGAGCAACGCCGCGUGAGUGAAGAAGGGUUUCGGCUCGUAAAGCUCUGUUGUUAAAGAAGAACGUGGGUGAGAGUAACUGUUCACCCAGUGACGGUAUUUAACCAGAAAGCCACGGCUAACUACGUGCCAGCAGCCGCGGUAAUACGUAGGUGGCAAGCGUUAUCCGGAUUUAUUGGGCGUAAAGCGAGCGCAGGCGGUCUUUUAAGUCUAAUGUGAAAGCCUUCGGCUCAACCGAAGAAGUGCAUUGGAAACUGGGAGACUUGAGUGCAGAAGAGGACAGUGGAACUCCAUGUGUAGCGGUGAAAUGCGUAGAUAUAUGGAAGAACACCAGUGGCGAAGGCGGCUGUCUGGUCUGUAACUGACGCUGAGGCUCGAAAGCAUGGGUAGCGAACAGGAUUAGAUACCCUGGUAGUCCAUGCCGUAAACGAUGAUUACUAAGUGUUGGAGGGUUUCCGCCCUUCAGUGCUGCAGCUAACGCAUUAAGUAAUCCGCCUGGGGAGUACGACCGCAAGGUUGAAACUCAAAAGAAUUGACGGGGGCCCGCACAAGCGGUGGAGCAUGUGGUUUAAUUCGAAGCUACGCGAAGAACCUUACCAGGUCUUGACAUCUUCUGCCAACCUAAGAGAUUAGGCGUUCCCUUCGGGGACAGAAUGACAGGUGGUGCAUGGUUGUCGUCAGCUCGUGUCGUGAGAUGUUGGGUUAAGUCCCGCAACGAGCGCAACCCUUAUUACUAGUUGCCAGCAUUCAGUUGGGCACUCUAGUGAGACUGCCGGUGACAAACCGGAGGAAGGUGGGGACGACGUCAAAUCAUCAUGCCCCUUAUGACCUGGGCUACACACGUGCUACAAUGGAUGGUACAACGAGUCGCGAAACCGCGAGGUUUAGCUAAUCUCUUAAAACCAUUCUCAGUUCGGACUGUAGGCUGCAACUCGCCUACACGAAGUCGGAAUCGCUAGUAAUCGCGGAUCAGCAUGCCGCGGUGAAUACGUUCCCGGGCCUUGUACACACCGCCCGUCACACCAUGAGAGUUUGUAACACCCAAAGCCGGUGGGGUAACCUUUUAGGAGCUAGCCGUCUAAGGUGGGAC